AUGGGGGUAUGUUGAACGAAGUCCCCUGUUUGGUACUGGAGAUGCCCACUCAAGUUGGAGAAAAUUUGUUGGAGCUGAUCGACGAGCAGGAAGCAUUCCGUGACGCUCAAAGGGAAGGUGUUCACAAGGACUGAAACUCAGUGGAUUCAAGCGAGACGUCUAGAAGGAGUCCGUGAUGUUCAAAGGAAUGUUUUCAAGAGGACUGAAACUUAUGGAAGAAGAUAUUGCGAGAAAACCGACGCUGCGCUCAAUGCAAUUGAAAAUAGAGCCAAAGAAGUUGGGUUGGAGUUAAAAAUACACCACGAGCCGCAAAGACAUGGAAAUGCUCUUCCAAGGGAGGUGAUGAGAAAGAAGGAAUGAAGGGUAUGUUUUGUUUUGAUAACCAUAUUGGUCGCAUAAUCUUUUUCUUUUCUUUUUUGUUGCUAAGUGCUAAAUUACAUUCCAACCCAAAAAGUAAAGUAGCAUGUGUUGACAAGACCAAAACUGAGACCUUCAAGUAGCACUUCCAAAAGCAGGGGAGUAACACCAAGGGAUUAGGAACAGCAGCAGCGUCUCAGCUCGAAUGAGGCCCUCAUAACAAGACCAUAACAGAGGCAUCAACGAAGCCAAAAUGGAGUAGCCCAGGAUUGAGGCCACAACAUGAACGUAACAGAAGUAUC
Molecule: long non-coding RNA, 659 nt
Organism: Rhododendron vialii
Lineage: Eukaryota; Viridiplantae; Streptophyta; Magnoliopsida; Ericales; Ericaceae
Exons: 3
Source: RefSeq, a predicted model, not a curated record